GAUGAGAACGUAGCGAAAUGCGAUAAGUAAUGUGAAUUGCAGAAUUCAGUGAAUCAUCGAAUCUUUGAACGCACAUUGCGCCCCCUGGUAUUCCGGGGGGCAUGCCUGUCCGAGCGUCAUUACAACCCUCAAGCUCAGCUUGGUGUUGGGCCCCGCCGCCCCGGCGGGCCCUAAAGUCAGUGGCGGUGCCGUCCGGCUCCGAGCGUAGUAAUUCUUCUCGCUCUGGAGGUCCGGUCGUGUGCUCGCCAGCAACCCCCAAUUUUUUUCAGGUUGACCUCGUAUCAGGUAGGGAUACCCGCUGAACUUAAGCAUAUCAAUAAGCGGAGGA
This 328-nucleotide unclassified non-coding RNA is filed under the name soil metagenome. RNAcentral's name for it is "partial contains 5.8S ribosomal RNA, internal transcribed spacer 2, and large subunit ribosomal RNA". The stretch from base 5 to 119 matches the Rfam family "5.8S ribosomal RNA", at positions 40 to 154 of the family's 154-position model. The record is from RNAcentral.